This is an RNA transcript of Sphaeramia orbicularis (orbiculate cardinalfish), 1551 nucleotides long. It is a transcript of the gene named probable serine/threonine-protein kinase DDB_G0280133, with no coding region annotated. The record is from RefSeq and is a predicted model, not a curated record. The transcript is spliced from 4 exons. NCBI's taxonomy places the organism in Eukaryota, Metazoa, Chordata, Actinopteri, Kurtiformes, Apogonidae.
AAAUAAUUGUAUAUAUGAGAAUUCAAGCCUAAAACGCUGAUAAAAGUCAUAAACAUCUUCCAUCUGUCCUUCAUCGAUAACGGAGGCCGACUUGUGUGGAAAGUUUGACUAAAUCUAAAACCACAGAUCCUAUCAGAGUCCUGCGCCUUCACAUGUCACACAAACACCAUCUGAUCUGGUUUCUUCUGCCACGUCUUCGAUGUUCUGAUAAAAGUCUGAAGUAAAAAGAGGGUGAGGCUGGUUUAACGCUGCAGACGUCCACAGAUACCGGACCGACGCGUCAGAGGGAGGAGCUUCACUGUUUGACUGAACGCUAGUAGAAAAGUGCUCAGGUUUGUGUUGGUACGCCUCAACAUGUCCACUGAUCCUGAGGCCGGACCACAACCCCAUCCAGAUGUGAGACGGAGCCCAGAAAUCCAAGAGGAAAGUGAAGAUCCAGGUGAAGUGUGUGAGAGAGCACAACUGAAGGGAGGGCGUGUUGUGAUUGGUCGUCCAGUCGUCAGGAGAAGCCGGUGCUGCAGCGUUCCUGCACUGAUUCAACAUCUGCUGAUUGUUCUGUUGGUUCUGAUUCUGGGUGGACUCUACGCACGAUGUAAACCUCUGCUCUGACUCACAAACGCAACAUGGCACAUAUUAAACACCACUAUAUUUUUGCCACUGUGGAAAGACAAAACCUGCUGCUGGAAAUACAGCAGCUCCAGAUCACCAGAAAUGAACUGAACAACACCAGAAAUGACCUGAACAACACCGUGAAUGAAUUGAACAACACCGUUACUGAGCUAAACACAAAGAAUAAUCAAGUCAACAUCACUAUUACAGAGAGGGACACAACUAUUGAGAGUCUGAAACGGCCACAGCCAACGGCGGAGCCAACGCACAGCCAACACCGGAGCCAACACCGGAGCCAAAGCCAGAGCCAACGCUGGAGCCAACACCGGAGCCAAAGCCAGAGCCAACGCUGGAGCCAACACUGGAGCCAACACUGGAGCCAACGCUGGAGCCAACGCUGGAGCCAACGCUGGAGCCAACACUGGAGCCAACGCUGGAGCCGUACCUGAACCCAUACCCAGAGGACCCAGAGUCUAUACACUUUAUUGACCGCGGUUUUGAGUGAAACUGUUGAUUUCAACCCAGAACAAGAUGUUACUGUAGUUGUUUUUGUGAUAAAUCAGGGUCGUCUGGUUCGUCUUUUCAUGUCAUUUUGAACAUAUUCUGUCUAGAUACUGUAGACAGACAGACAGACAGACAGAAAGAGAGACAGACAGACAGACAGACAGACAGAUAGAUAGAUAGAUAGAUAGAUAGAUAGAUAGAUAGAUAGAGGUCCAUGAACGACCAUAUGAACAAGAUGAACAAAUGAUGAAGAUGUUGUUAAUGCUGUUCAUGUUUUUGUAGAGAGCGUCCCAUGAAAUAAUGAGAUGGACAGAGAUGAAGCCGUUUGGAAAAACAGCGACUGGAAGAAUCUGAAGAAAAAAGUUCAAUGCUUUGUCUUUUUCUUGUGUAUUUUUGUUUCUCUGUAUUUUUUUAACCAACAGUGUUUUUUUUUCUGAU